AUGCUCGCUUCUGCAGGACAUAUACCAAAAAAACUGGAAUGAUAACAGAAAAUUAGCAUGACCCUACAAAAGGAUGACACACAAAUUUGUGAAGUAUUAAAGAAAAAA
Molecule: small nuclear RNA, 108 nt
Filed under: Nannospalax galili (Upper Galilee mountains blind mole rat)
Lineage: Eukaryota; Metazoa; Chordata; Mammalia; Rodentia; Spalacidae
Source: RNAcentral